UCGAAUGGGGCCUCGUGCCCCUCGACUCACAAACCAAGUGGAAGUGACCCGUGCUUCGGCGCUCCGGCGCCGCCUCGACGCUCAAGUCCGUCUCGUGUCUGAAUAAUAUAAGAAUCA
This 117-nucleotide unclassified non-coding RNA is filed under the name uncultured Archaeorhizomyces. Its description in RNAcentral is "sequence contains ITS1". Lineage: Eukaryota; Fungi; Ascomycota; Archaeorhizomycetes; Archaeorhizomycetales; Archaeorhizomycetaceae. The record is from RNAcentral.